RNAcentral lists this ribosomal RNA (472 nucleotides) under uncultured bacterium. Its description in RNAcentral is "SSU rRNA". It matches the Rfam family "Bacterial small subunit ribosomal RNA", at positions 26 to 518 of the family's 1533-position model. The record is from RNAcentral.
AGAACGAACGCUGGCGGCAUGCCUAACACAUGCAAGUCGAACGCUCCUGGGGCUUCGGUCUCAGGGGAGUGGCGCACGGGUGAGUAGCGCGUGGGAACCUGCCCUGUUGUGGGGGAUAACCGAGGGAAACUUCGGCUAAUACCGCAUAAGCCGGUUGUCUUGAAAGAGAUGACCGGGAAAGAUUUAUCGCCUUUGGAUCGGCCCGCGUCUGAUUAGCUAGUUGGCGGGGUAAUGGCCCACCAAGGCGACGAUCAGUAGCUGGUCUGAGAGGAUGACCAGCCACAUUGGGACUGAGACACGGCCCAAACUCCUACGGGAGGCAGCAGUGGGGAAUAUUGGACAAUGGGCGCAAGCCUGAUCCAGCCAUGCCGCGUGAGUGAUGAAGGCCUUAGGGUUGUAAAGCUCUUUCGCCGAGGACGAUAAUGACGGUACUCGGAUAAGAAGCCCCGGCUAACUUCGUGCCAGCAGCCGC